AGAGUUUGAUCCUGGCUCAGGAUGAACGCUAGCGGCAGGCUUAACACAUGCAAGUCGAGGGGUAAGGCACUUUCGGGUGUACACGACCGGCGCACGGGUGAGUAACGCGUAUGCAACCUACCUUUUACAGGGGAAUAGCCCAGGGAAACUUGGAUUAAUGCCCCAUACGAUCUACCAGUGGCAUCACUGGUUUUUUGAAAACUACGGUGGUAAAAGAUGGGCAUGCGUGCCAUUAGCUAGUUGGUAAGGUAACGGCUUACCAAGGCAACGAUGGCUACGGGGUCUUAAAGGAUGGUCCCGCACACUGGUACUGAGACACGGACCAGACUCCUACGGGAGGCAGCAGUGAGGAAUAUUGGUCAAUGGGGGGAACCCUGAACCAGCCAUGCCGCGUGCAGGAAGACUGCCCUAUGGGUUGUAAACUGCUUUUGUUCGACAGGAAAUGCAGCUACGUGUAGUUGUUUGACCCUCGGACGAAUAAGCAUCGGCUAACUCCGUGCCAGCAGCCGCGGUAAUACGGAGGAUGCGAGCGUUAUCCGGAUUUAUUAGGUUUAAAGGGUGCGUAGGCGGGAUACUCAGUCAGUGGUGAAAGGCUACAGCUUAACUGUAGGACUGCCAUUGAUACUGGUAACCUUGAGUUCAGAUGAGGUGGGCGGAAUGUGUAAUGUAGCGGUGAAAUGCUUAGAUAUUACCCAGAACACCGAUUGCGAAGGCAGCUCACUAAUCUUCAACUGACGCUGAUGCACGAAAGCGUGGGGAGCGAACAGGAUUAGAUACCCUGGUAGUCCACGCCGUAAACGAUGAUCACUCGUUGUAUGCUUGCAAAGGCAUGUGACUGAGCGAAAGCAUUAAGUGAUCCACCUGGGGAGUACGUCGGCAACGAUGAAACUCAAAGGAAUUGACGGGGGCCCGCACAAGCGGAGGAACAUGUGGUUUAAUUCGAUGAUACGCGAGGAACCUUACCUGGGCUUAAAUGGAUGCUGCAUGUAUUGGAAACAGUACUUUCUUCGGACUGCGUCCAAGGUGCUGCAUGGCUGUCGUCAGCUCGUGCCGUGAGGUGUCGGGUUAAGUCCCAUAACGAGCGCAACCCCUAUCCUUAGUUGCCAACGGGUCAUGCCGGGGACUCUAAGGAGACUGCCACCGUAAGGUGUGAGGAAGGUGGGGAUGACGUCAAGUCAGCACGGCCCUUAUGUCCAGGGCUACACACGUGUUACAAUGGCCGGUACAAAGGGCAGCUACCUGGUAACAGGGUGCUAAUCUCAAAAGCCGGUCCCAGUUCGGAUCGGAGUCUGCAACUCGACUCCGUGAAGUUGGAUUCGCUAGUAAUCGCGCAUCAGCAACGGCGCGGUGAAUACGUUCCCGGGCCUUGUACACACCGCCCGUCAAGCCAUGGAAGCCGGGGGUACCUGAAGUCCGUAACCGCAAGGAGCGGCCUAGGGUAAAACUGGUAACUGGGGCUAAGUCGUAACAAGGUA
RNAcentral lists this ribosomal RNA (1475 nucleotides) under metagenome. RNAcentral describes it as "bacterial SSU rRNA". It matches the Rfam family "Bacterial small subunit ribosomal RNA". The record is from RNAcentral.